Molecule: long non-coding RNA, 308 nt
Organism: Bombina bombina (fire-bellied toad)
Lineage: Eukaryota; Metazoa; Chordata; Amphibia; Anura; Bombinatoridae
Exons: 3
Source: RefSeq, a predicted model, not a curated record
CUUCUCUGCAGCUAGUUUUCUCUCUGCAUCAGUGAAACUGAUACAGCGCGGCCUACUAUUUCUCCACAAACCACAAAAUUAGCUGAUGAUUUUAGAAUCGGGGUAUCCUUAAAAUAGCAUAUCUGUGGAGCCAAUCCAGGCUUGAGUCUCCAGAAACAUGGAUAACUAUGAUACACACUAGAUCCGGUAGCCAUGGUAACCGCUGGACCUGCACAGUGGUGCGGUGGAGACUCAGUGGAGUUCUGGUUUCGCGGUUGUUGGUGGAGGGGUAAGUUACUUAAUUGUAGCAUUAUGCAUUUUUCACUAAU